This 347-nucleotide ribosomal RNA is filed under the name uncultured bacterium. RNAcentral's name for it is "partial 16S ribosomal RNA". It matches the Rfam family "Bacterial small subunit ribosomal RNA", at positions 338 to 682 of the family's 1533-position model. The record is from RNAcentral.
CCUACGGGUGGCAGCAGUGAGGAAUAUUGGUCAAUGGACGAGAGUCUGAACCAGCCAAGUAGCGUGAAGGAUGACUGCCCUAUGGGUUGUAAACUGCUUGUAUAAAGGAAUAAAACGAGGCACGUGUGCCUUUUUGCAGGUACUUUAUGAAUAAGGAUCGGCUAACUCCGUGCCAGCAGCCGCGGUAAUACGGAGGCUCCGAGCGUUAUCCGGAUUUAUUGGGUUUAAAGGGAGCGUAGAUGGGUUGUUAAGUCAGUUGUGAAAGUUUGCGGCUCAACCGUCAAAUUGCCAUUGAUACUGGCAGUCUUGAUUACACUUGCGGUAGGCGGAAUUCGUGGUGUAGCGGU